Molecule: ribosomal RNA, 206 nt
Filed under: uncultured bacterium
Lineage: Bacteria
Description: partial 16S ribosomal RNA
Rfam family: Bacterial small subunit ribosomal RNA
Source: RNAcentral
CGCGUAGGUGGAUCAAUCAGUCUGCUGUGAAAGUCAAAGGCUCAACCUUUGAAAGCCGGUGGAUACUGUUGAUCUAGAGUACGGAAGAGGCGAGUGGAAUUCCUGGUGUAGCGGUGGAAUGCGCAGAUAUCAGGAGGAACACCAAUAGCGAAGGCAGCUCGCUGGGACGUCACUGACACUGAGGCGCGAAAGCGUGGGAGCAAACA